AACGAACGCUGGCGGCAGGCCUAACACAUGCAAGUCGAGCGCCCUCUUCGGAGGGAGCGGCGGACGGGUUAGUAACGCGUGGGAACGUACCCUUUGCUACGGAACAACAGUUGGAAACGACUGCUAAUACCGUAUGUGCCCUACGGGGGAAAGAUUUAUCGGCAAGGGAUCGGCCCGCGUUGGAUUAGGUAGUUGGUGGGGUAAUGGCCUACCAAGCCUACGAUCCAUAGCUGGUUUGAGAGGAUGAUCAGCAACACUGGGACUGAGACACGGCCCAGACUCCUACGGGAGGCAGCAGUGGGGAAUCUUGGACAAUGGGGGCAACCCUGAUCCAGCCAUGCCGCGUGAGUGAUGAAGGCCUUAGGGUCGUAAAGCUCUUUCAGCUGGGAAGAUAAUGACGGUACCAACAGAAGAAGCGACGGCUAAAUACG
This 431-nucleotide ribosomal RNA is filed under the name uncultured Paracoccaceae bacterium. RNAcentral's name for it is "bacterial SSU rRNA". It matches the Rfam family "Bacterial small subunit ribosomal RNA", at positions 29 to 505 of the family's 1533-position model. Lineage: Bacteria; Pseudomonadati; Pseudomonadota; Alphaproteobacteria; Rhodobacterales; Paracoccaceae. The record is from RNAcentral.